This 1241-nucleotide long non-coding RNA is filed under the name Ursus maritimus (polar bear). RNAcentral describes it as "lncRNA (ENSUMAG00000016548.1)". Lineage: Eukaryota; Metazoa; Chordata; Mammalia; Carnivora; Ursidae. The record is from RNAcentral.
CGUGUGUGCCUGAGCCCUCUCACGAUCUCCUGGGGCCACAGUGACUUCCUGGCACCGACAGACCACAGGGUGCCCAGGACUUCCCCCUCCCAUGCCCCCACUGCUGCCCCCAGGCUUGCUUCCUUCUUUUCUGUCCCUGGAGCUUGAGCCUGAUGUACAAACACCCGGAAUCGGGCUCGUUAUGUAAGUUUCCUGGUCCCUGGGCUGGGUGACUCAGCAUGAGGUGGUGCCCCGCUCUUUCCCAGCCUGGGGCAGCGUGCUAACCAGGGCCGGGUCAGCGGCAAACUGGAAUGGAAAACAAGGCCCGCUAAUGAGGUCCAGCUGAGCAGCCUUCAUUCCCAGUGGCGUCUGGUGAGCCCAGGAAACCCGCGGGAACCAUCGGAGGGCUCUUGCCAACGAACCCAUGGGUGGAAAUCUCCAUCUCCCCGCUCACUUCCUGUUCUGUUGUCUUAUCUCUCUGGCUGAAGAUUACAGAAGGUUCACAUUUGGCUUCUCUUUGCCCUGAGGCUGCCACUUUCUGGGUCCCUGUUAUAAAUUGAAUGUUCGUGUUACCCCAAAAUUCAUAUGGUGAAGCCCUAACCCUCCAAUGUUGUAGCGUUAGAAAGUGGGGCCUUUGGAAGUAGUUAGAUGGAGUUGAGGUCAUUAAGAUAAAGCCUCCAUGAUGGGAUUAAUGCCGUCCUAAGAAAAGAGACCGAUAUCCUCCACUCUGCACCACCCCUAUGUGAAGAUCCAGCAAGAAGGCGGUCACCUGAAAGCCAGGAAAGGCGUCUUUACCAGAACCCCGCUAUCCGGGCACCCUGAUCUCCAACUUCUAGCCUCCAGAACUGUGGGGAAAUCAAUUUCUGUUGAAGCCACAAAGUCUGUGGUAUGUUGUUAUAGCAGCCCAAGAGAAGACGGUCUCAACUAACCUCAGGUCCUAGUGAGGCCGGGCAGGAAGUGAUGCUGGUGAAUGAGGAUAUACCCUUGGGUGCGGCUCAACCUGGACCCAAACUCUCUCUCUGCCCGCCCCAGGUCCCAAGCACAGAGUAGGGAGUCAGUUGGAAACACUGUUAUAGAGAGAACAAACUUCAGCAAAUCUGGCUUGCCCUCAUUUCUCUCUCCUGCAGGCAUGUGGAUGAAAUCCUAAUUGAAAAAACCAAGACAUAGAAGAAUAUAUACAUCAUGACGCCCUGACGUAAAGGCCAAGAACAGAACAAACAAAGCAGGGUGUGGAAUUUGUACAAAAUGUUUUACGAUCUUUG